Molecule: long non-coding RNA, 881 nt
Organism: Asparagus officinalis (garden asparagus)
Lineage: Eukaryota; Viridiplantae; Streptophyta; Magnoliopsida; Asparagales; Asparagaceae
Exons: 2
Source: RefSeq, a predicted model, not a curated record
ACAGAAUUAUUUUAGAAUAAUUAUAAAUAAUUUAAAGGAAAUCUAUUUUGAAAAAGAAAUUAUUUUUGAUCUGCUCACCGCUACUAUACACACACACCGUACUAUUAAUAGUUACUGUUAUGAUUUAUAAUUCUUAAAUUUAAUUAUGUGAUAUGCCAUGAUAUUAUUGCACAUGAUCAAUUGUAUCUAUUAUUUCUUGUUGUGAUUGAGAACUGUUAGUAGUUCAUGACCUUAGUGGCCUUGUACAAGACUUAGUGACAGGUGUAUGUUGACUUAGAAAAACAAGAAGAGUUGGGGUUGAAAAGUCUUGGUUCAUGUGAUCGGAUGUGGCUGUUGAUGUAUCUUCCAGACUCGCACCAGUGAACCGUUUCGCACUGGGGUUGGUUUGUUGGGCCAAAUGAAUCGUUUCACACUUGGUCAGUGAAAUCAUUUCGUCACCCAAGUUUUGCUUGAGUUUGGACCAGACCAAAAUUGGAUUGUGUGUAGUCCUCUCACCGAACCGUUUUGCAGGUAUGGAUGCACGUAGAGGAUUUGUGAAUAGUCAGCUAUCCGAGAAAAUGAAUGUUGACUCUAUGUGAGAAAUUGACCAAUAACUUGUUAUAGGAUGGUUGUACGUCAGAUCUAGAAGACGGACAACUUCAGUUCGGAGUCGUACAGGAGCCAGAGGAUCCUUCGCAGGAGUGCUUUGUAGACCGAGCAGAAGAAAUCGAAGCCUAGUCAUUUCUUUUAUUAGUUGUUGAUCCUUAGUUUACUUUUAUAGCACAUUCCAUUUCCGCCUGAUCAAUAUAUAAUAUAUUUUUUCAGUAUUUCAUUCAAAUAGUUUUGUAUAAGGGUAUGUUUGGCCCAAAUAUUAUGUCUGAGAUGAUGUUUUAGUUGUGAUA